Long non-coding RNA from Acanthopagrus latus (yellowfin seabream), 695 nucleotides. RefSeq lists it as uncharacterized. The record is from RefSeq and is a predicted model, not a curated record. The transcript is spliced from 3 exons. NCBI's taxonomy places the organism in Eukaryota, Metazoa, Chordata, Actinopteri, Spariformes, Sparidae.
AAGCCUCCUGGAUGAGAACUCAAGCAAGUCCAGUUGCCUUCGAUACGGCACCUUUAUUUACCAUGACCUGGACGAGUGAGAACCUUCAUCAACACAAAAACAAGAUUGUAGUGCUUCAUGAGCGCAAUCAAGACCUAAAAGGCUACAACAGUGAGGAGUAGCAACGAUACCAAGGACAGGAGCUAAACGCAAGGAAGAAACAACAAAUACUGUCAGUGCAAAUGUUCCGGUGUUGGAAUGUCGGAUUCAUUGGCUGCUCAGUGAGCGAGACAAAAAGCAGCAGAUAAUUGAUGACUUCAGCUUCCUCAAGAAAGUAAGGUGCCAGUUGAAGGAAAAGAAAGUGUUUGGAAGUUGUGAGGAAAACAGGCUCAGUAGAGGCCGGGAGUAAACAAAGGAAUACAUGCUGACAGAAUCAUCCUGACGAAAACUGGUGUCUGUUUUUGCCUACUGUGCGUAUUAAACGUACACAAAGAGGGACAAAAUGAGGCGACGACACAUUUUGAAGCGUUCUCUUCCUCAUAGCGGUGAUCAAUGGAGGAUCACCUUGCUGAGAAACACAGCUCUCGUGGAAGUAUUCUGGUCAAGAGCUCAUUAUCUCUACAAGCCAUCUCUCUGAGUUAUGGAUGAGUGGUUGCUCAAAACACUACAGUUGCACACUCGUGACCCAGCAUGUGACAUCCCCGGUGGCGCAGCGU